GGAAAUGCGGUUUGCUUACUUAUGCGGAAAAAUGGCUGCUGCCAGUUUGGCUGUUUUCUGCAGGGGAGUGUCGGCGGCCCUGAAGGCUUCCAGGUCGUUAAUAAGUCCUCAGGCCCCUGCUAGCACAAGUUGCAGGUUUUCUCUUUGUCUGUUGACUAAGAAUACACCAAAUGUCACAUCUUUUCAUCAGUGUAGAUUACUUCAUACCACAUUGUCUAGGAGAGGACUGGAAGAAUUUUUUGAUGACCCAAAGAAUUGGGGGGAAGAAAAAGUGAAAUCUGGAGCUUCAUGGACCUGUCAGCAAUUAAGGAACAAAAGUAAUGAAGAUUUACAUAAACUUUGGUAUGUUCUCCUGAAAGAAAGAAACAUGCUCCUAACUCUAGAACAGGAGGCUAAGCGGCAGAGUUUGCCAAUGCCAAGUCCGGAGCGGUUAGAAAAGGUAGUAGAUUCCAUGGAUGCAUUAGAUAAAGUUGUCCAGGAAAGGGAAGAUGCCCUCAGACUUCUUCAGACUGGUCAAGAAAAAGCUAGACCUGGUGCUUGGAGAAGAGACAUCUUUGGAAGAAUCAUCUGGCACAAGUUCAAGCAGUGGCCUAUACCUUGGUACCUAAAUAAAAGAUACAAUAGAAAACGAUUCUUUGCAAUGCCCUAUGUGGAACGUUUUGUCAGAUUGAGAACUGAGAAACAAGCCCGCAUCAAAGCAAGGAAGAGAAGUUUAGCAAGCAAGAAAGAAAAGUUUCUUCAGGAAAAGUUUCCACAUCUUUCUGAAGCCCAGAAGUCAAGUCUUGUCUAAGAUAGCUGAACUCUUAAUUUACCAUUUUGUUUUUCUUGGAUUACAAUCUGUAUACAAAAUUUGCUGGAGAUCCUUCACGAACAGCUUCCUGAGUGCCAAGAGCAAGUGCUAGGUUAACAGAGUUCACAACAUGGGGGUGGGGAGUUGGAGGUAAAUCCCAGAAAUAAAAUUCAUUCAUCACUUACUUUUGAUGCAAUCAUAUAUGGAGGAAUCAGUUCUAUAUUCAUUUCUUGGAAGAGUUCUCUGCACUGCAUAGUAAUAAAGUCUCCAGCAAGAGGGGAUUUUACAAUGCCUAUGAAACAGAUUAAACAAGGCUAAGAAAGCAUUCCAUCCAAACUCCCUGGGACAAAUUUCCUCUGUGUAUUUAUACAUGAUUAAUUGUUUUCAAGCAGAAUUAAUGGAACUAUCCCUCCAGGCAUGAAUGAAGCCAUGCAUCAGUUUUAAAUAUACACUAUAUACUAAAGAUUAAAAAAAAAACACUUAAAGACAUGACUGGGAAACUGAUAUACUUUGAUAGUCCAAGUCAUUGCUUUAUUUCAUGAUCUGUGUCCUCUGUGCACCCUGGUUAAAUACAGUUACCUUGCUGAAGGACAUAGCCAUCGUGAACUGGAAUUGCAGUGGUAUGAGUGGCUCCACUGUCCAAGAUAAGCCCAGUAGAACGACCAUUAGCAAAUCUAGUUUAAAGCAUUAAGGAAAAGAAAGUAUCAAGGUUCCUAAAAUAAUGUUUAUUGUAAAGGGAAGGUUUUAUUAAGGCAUUUUUAAAACAUGUGCGUUGUGGCUUAAAAUGCGUUAAAAAAAAAUAAAAUAGGGCUUCCCUGGUGGCUCAGUGGUUGAGAGUCCACCUGCCGAUGCAAGGGACACGGGUUCGUGCCCUGGUCCAGGAGGAUCCCACAUGCUGCGGAGCGGCUGGGCCCGUGAGCCAUGGCCGCUGAGCCUGCGUGUCUGGAGCCUGUGCUCCGCAGCGGGAGAGACCACAACAGUGAGAGGCCCGCGUACCGCAAAAAAAAUUAAAAAAUAAAUAAAAUAAUAAAAUAAAUACGGGGAUGAAAGUUGGCAUCAAAUAAUAACUCUGGUUUCAAAACAAAUGAGAACAGGCAGGACUUCCAGAAUGGUGGUGUGAGGAAGUCAGAGAAACCUUUAUCCCAGAGAGACAUCUGUUAAACUGGUCCAAAUUAGCACAAUUAUUCAAAGUCCCUGGCACAGAUCAAAGGGCUUACAACAAACUGAGAAGCAUUUAACAAAAUCUAUAGAAACUUGGUAAGAACAGUGGGAGGCUGUGACAUUUGAGAUAAGAACUAAAACCAUUCUCACAUAGGAUUAAAGAACCAUUUCAGCAGUUUGGCAGGUGAGUGGCUGUUAUCAUCAUCUCCCCCAACUCAAUAGGAAGAGCUAUUCCAGGCAGAUUCAACAGCCAGUGAAUAUCAGCAGACUCCACUUAUCCCAUUUUCCACAGCUCUGUGCUGCAGAAGGCCUACAUCACGUGAACAUCAUAAACCAACAUUUAGGAGUAGAGCCAUUCACUGGAUCAUCAAAUAUUUACUGAGCAUCUAUUAUGUGCCUAGUGAUAGGUCUGGUGCCCAAUAAAGGAGGGCAGCAGGGAGGUCAUUCUCUCACUAGCACUCCUUAAGCAGAGAAGACACGAAGAGGUGAACCAAAACUGUCUCUGCCCUGAAGGAUAUCCUGAUAAGUGCAGCAGAGAUCAAUAAAGCUAUAAAAAGAACAGUUUGAGAUGCCAUGGGAGAGUAUAUAGGAAUAUAACCGGUCCCUGGGAAAUUCAAUUGUAAGAUGGGGAGGGGGACAUGGGGAAGAGGAGAAACAUGCGGGAAGGCGAGGAGGCAAGAGAGCAUAGUGAAGAGGUCAGGGAAGUGCAGCAUAGUUCAGUGGGGCCUGAAAGGAGAAGAAAGGCAAGGCUGUGGAAGAUGAUUCUGGCUUAAAUCAGCAGACUGGCAAUUAACAAAGAUGAUCAGAGCUGCAGUGUGAAGACUGGGCAAGAUAAGAGGAAGGGGUGCACCUAAUGCAAUGGCAGUGGAUAGAGAAAUAAAUGGAUUUGAGGGUUUGGUUUGGGGCCGGGGGAGGCUGGAGAAUAGACAGGUCUUGAUAACUACAAAAUCUGAAGGGUUAAUGAGAAAGAUUUCUGGUCUAGACAACUGGGAGUAAGAUACUACACAAAGGAGAAAGAAUAAAUUUGAUGGGAGAGAAGAAUUUUGGAUAUAUUGAGUUUAAAGUGCUUAAACAGAUAACUAAUAGAAAAAAGUUCUAGUAGACAGCUGGACGUGGGCCUGGAGCUCACAAGAAAGAUCUGGGAUACAAACAUGGAUUUGGAAUUUGUCAGUGUAUAACUGGUAUCUGAAGCCAAGGAAAUAGAUAGUUAAACCAGAAAGAACAUGUCAAGAGGGAUGAAGGGCUAAGGGCAGAGAACUAAGGCAUGGGCAGGAACGAUCAGAGGAAAGAGGUCUGAGAAUAAAUGGCCAGAACGAUAGGUUAGUAAUUUAUCUUUGCUAUUACUGGUACUCCAUUGAUCUCUGGUCAUCUAUAUACAUAAACACUAAUUUUAUCUCUGUUAGUACAAAGUGAUACAGUAACACCAGACUAAAAGUAUGUAAGCUCUCCUGAAGAUGGCAAUUAUAAAACCUGGACAAAUUAUUUUAAGUGACCAUUUUAAGAUACUGGAAAGUAUUCAAAAGUAGUCAAAACUCAGCCAAAACUUAUCUUCAUGAAACUGCAACCAGAGGGGGUAAAAACUGCAAGUUUGCAGCUUCCUCGCCUAAAAGUGCUUCCCAGCUCCAUGGCUAUGGUUCAGGAAAGCAGUGACGAAAAAUCGCAACUUUACCACCUUGAGUGAACACAGAAAGGAGUUCAGGGGUGGAAGAAAAGCUGGACAUUUAAGGUAGAAACUCUGGAAGAAAGAGAACCACAGAAGGGAUAAAACCCAAAAUCUGAGUAUAAAAUCUACCCAAAUCUCUGGUUGACAACUGAACUAUUCAACUGCAGGACUGCAGGGGGACCAACAAAAUGCAGAGAACAGAAGGGCAAUGCAUUCUUGAAAAACAGAGGUGCACCAAUGAGUUCUGUGAUUUUGCUACCUUUUUAAAUCAAUGAAUUCUCCAACAGCAUGCAGCUCUGACAGGAGAAGGCUGAAGCCUGCCUCGCAAAUUGAGGUGUCAAGAGGACAGAGCCUGAGGCUGGCAGAUAAGAGCCCAGCUAUCAAUUAAGUCAGAUAAAACAAUACUACUCUUCUUACUAAUAUUUUUGUUUUGGAAAACAGAGUUAUCUUUUUCAUAAAACUGUUAUUUUUGUCGACGUUAAUGUGUGUAUUUUUGUUAUUUUUAAUUAAAUUAAUAAGAAAAUGUUAAAAGGAGUCUUAGUUUUAAAUUCUCAAACAGUAAUAUUGAUAGUUAUAACCUACAAAAAACAGAAGCUCUGCGUCAUCCUCAGUAAUUUUUAAAAGUGUAAAGGAAUCCCAAGGCCAUGGUUAGGAAGUCAAAACAAUUUUUAGAAUAAUACUAAGAUGUUAUUUGCCCUUUUCACUGUCAUUCUCUCAUAAAUGUACAAGAGAGUUUUUUUUCCAGAGGCUAUGUCAUGUGUGAUACACAACAGACUGAAUGUGAUAUGAGAAUCCAACUUCUGCUAUUAAGUCCAACGUUAAAGACAUUUGAAAAAUUGUGAAACGAAGCCACCCUUCUCAUUAAUAUUUUUGGUUUUGGAAAACACAGUUAUUUUUUAUUAAAAUAUUUUAUUUAUAUUAUCAUACAAUGGGCUUAUUAAUUUACUUAAAAUAAGCAAAUAUAAUUUUUUUAAGUUUCUGUCUUAAUUUCUAAUAUGGCAAAUACUACCAGAUAUGAUCCACAUAAAUAAAAGCUCUAGGUAUAAAAAGUUUGAGAACCUCUGGGCUAGAAGAACACAGUAAAAAACACUAGUCAGCAAAAGCCAGAAGUGUUAGGAAUUCUAGAGGACAAUCUACUUCCCUUACCAAAUAAAUUACAAGAGAAAAUAAAGGGGAGGGUGGGUACAAUCUACAGACCACAAGAGACCUAAGAGACAUAUCGAACAAAAUACAAUGCAUGAUCCCUGUUGCCUGGGUCCUGAUUCAAAUAUACUAAACUGUUUUUUAAAAAAGAAAAUAAAUUGUGGUUAUAUCUUUAAAAAAAAAGAGACAUAUGGUAACAUCUUGUACAGAUACAUGCUUAAUGUCUGGGAUUUACUUCAAAACCAUGGUGGGAGGGGGAGUGCCUGUGGUUAUAGCUAAUACCACUUAGCUCUGUGUUGAAAGUUGUUGACCCUGGGUGAUGGGCACAUGG
Globicephala melas (long-finned pilot whale) is the source of this 5088-nucleotide RNA transcript. It is a transcript of the gene named mitochondrial ribosomal protein L47, with no coding region annotated. The record is from RefSeq and is a predicted model, not a curated record. NCBI's taxonomy places the organism in Eukaryota, Metazoa, Chordata, Mammalia, Artiodactyla, Delphinidae.